UGCUGCCCGUGUCACCUCUAGAGCUGCCCAUGAGCUGAUAGAGGAUCACAGCCUCCUCUCGGGGGUCCUGCACAGCUUAGAGAAAAGGACCUGCUGCACAGGAAGUGGCACAGUAAUGGAUUUGAGCUGUCUAGAACGUUAUUUCUCCUCCCCUUGCCUCUCCCUGACAAAAAAAAAAAUCUCUUCUGCAGGCACAGAGUGCCCUGACAGGUUCAGGCAAGUGCACCAAAAGUGCCCUAGAAUAUGGUCCCCCGUAGGAGAUGGACCAGCUGCUGGUUUCUGGAGAACAAGGUGAUAAAUAAAAUGAUUUCCUUACUCCAUCCUCUAUGGCUAAUAAAUUUAGGAGACAAGAGAGAAAACAGGAAUCGGUCCCAGAUGCUGCUGUUGAGAUGGAUAUAUGAUCUAUCUAUCUAUCUGUAUAUAGAUAUAUGUAUAUACGUAUAUCUGUGUAGUGAUAAUAAUGGGAUUUUUUAUGAUACGUUGCUUCACCGUUUUAUAUUUUUAAUAAAGUGUGAUUUU
Molecule: long non-coding RNA, 519 nt
Organism: Vidua macroura (Pin-tailed whydah)
Lineage: Eukaryota; Metazoa; Chordata; Aves; Passeriformes; Viduidae
Exons: 3
Source: RefSeq, a predicted model, not a curated record